Molecule: unclassified non-coding RNA, 345 nt
Filed under: soil metagenome
Description: partial contains 5.8S ribosomal RNA, internal transcribed spacer 2, and large subunit ribosomal RNA
Rfam family: 5.8S ribosomal RNA (bases 1-119)
Source: RNAcentral
GAUGAAGAACGUAGCGAAAUGCGAUACGUAAUGAGAAUUGCAAAUUCAGUGAAUCAUCGAGUCUUUGAACGCACAUUGCGCCCCCUGGUAUUCCGGGGGGCAUGCCUGUCCGAGCGUCAUUGCUGCCCUCAAGCACGGCUUGUGUGUUGGGCCCCGUCCUCCGAUCCCGGGGGACGGGCCCGAAAGGCAGCGGCGGCACCGCGUCCGGUCCUCGAGCGUAUGGGGCUUUGUCACCCGCUCUGUAGGCCCGGCCGGCGCUUGCCGAUCAACCCAAAUUUUUAUCCAGGUUGACCUCGGAUCAGGUAGGGAUACCCGCUGAACUUAAGCAUAUCAAUAAGCGGAGGA